GCCUUCAUGAAGCUGGAAUUGCUAGUAAUGGCAGGUCAGCAUACUGCCGUGAAUACGUUCCCGGGCCUUGUACACACCGCCCGUCACACCAUGAGAGUUGGGAAUACCCGAAGCCUGUGAGCUAACUUAUAGAGGCAGCAGUCGAAGGUAGAAUCAAUGAUUGGGGUGAAGUCGUAACAAGGUACC
Molecule: ribosomal RNA, 186 nt
Filed under: uncultured bacterium
Lineage: Bacteria
Description: partial 16S ribosomal RNA
Rfam family: Bacterial small subunit ribosomal RNA
Source: RNAcentral